AAUUGGUGUGUUGACUAGUGUUGUAAAUAUUCAGAUGUCUAAACUGAAGACAAUAGCCUUUAAUUUUGGCUUCACCUUUUCAUAUUGGUCUUGACUUAGAUUAAUGGAAACACAGAACAGUUGGGGUUGGAAGGAACCUUCAAAGAACAUUUAGUGCAGCCACUCUGCCAUGAGCAGCUUUGUCAGCUUGAUCAAAAUACUGUCACUUGAUCAGCUUGCUCAAAAUACUGUCCAGCCUGACUUUGAACACUUCCAAUAAUGGGGCAUCCCAACAACUUCUAUUCAACUGUCUUCAGAGACUGCUUCCAAUUUACCUUAUUGUGUGAUUCUGUUUCUACACAGUGUACUGAUGAGAGCAUGGACAGCUUGUUGAGCUGUUCCCUCUACCUACCUGCCCUGCUGUCUGCCUCUGCAAGGUGCUGCUUUGUGGUGUAUUUAUUGCUCAUCCAGAAGAUCCACUUUCAUUUUUAGAGGAAAAACUGAGAGAAAUAAUGGCAAAGGGAUUAGAUACUUUCUUAUGAUACAUACUGAAUUACUCUGUCUGUGUGUGUGCUAUGUGGUUUAUAAUAUUGCACUUGGACUUUUAAAAUAUGCUAAUGGUACAGUAUCUUCUAUGUAGACUGCAAUUUAAAUGAUAAUAUUGCUUUUUGCAAAUAUUGAUGGCAUAUGAUAUUGCAAAAGCAGUAAGACUCUAAUAUCUCUAAAAACAGAAAAUGUAUUUUAUUUUUUUAUCCAUGGGUUUGGGGGCAGUUGGGUGUUUUGUUUUGUUUUUUGUGUGUAUGUUUUUUUGUCUAUAGAAUAUUUAAUUAAUAUAGCCUCCACUUAAUACUCCUCUUUGUUUAGUUGAUACAUUAAAGCCUUACUUUUGUGGCAAUCAAAACUGAGGUGAUGUUAAGGGUUUUAACUUCAUUGCUGACCACAGCACAUUUACCUAUAUGAGCCAGGGAUGUGUCUUUCAAGCACUGCAUCAUUAAGUGAGGUAUUUCUCAAUUUUUCUGUUCUUUCACCUUGUGAAAUGAAGACAGCACAGCAUGAGAUAAAAAAAAAAAAACCCCAAGGAUUUAGUUUUGUUUACACUGAAAUCAUAUAAAAUAAUGUGAUAUUUCUUGCUUUAAUAUUCUCUGCAAUUUUCUGGUUGAAGUUUUCAGUGGGAUGUGAGUAAUAAAUCCUUAAUCUUUGGAUCCA
Molecule: long non-coding RNA, 1185 nt
Filed under: Chloebia gouldiae (Gouldian finch)
Lineage: Eukaryota; Metazoa; Chordata; Aves; Passeriformes; Passeridae
Description: Erythrura gouldiae (Gouldian finch) lncRNA (ENSEGOG00005005037.1)
Source: RNAcentral